This 76-nucleotide transfer RNA is filed under the name Eunotia naegelii. RNAcentral's name for it is "tRNA-Asn". It matches the Rfam family "tRNA". From Rfam's summary of the family: Transfer RNA (tRNA) molecules are approximately 80 nucleotides in length. The record is from RNAcentral. Lineage: Eukaryota; Bacillariophyta; Bacillariophyceae; Eunotiales; Eunotiaceae.
UUCUUCAGUAGCUCAGCUAGGUAGAGCAAGUGGCUGUUAACUACUUGGCCGUUGGUUCAAAUCCAGCCUGAAGAGA